This 1372-nucleotide ribosomal RNA is filed under the name uncultured bacterium. Its description in RNAcentral is "16S ribosomal RNA". It matches the Rfam family "Bacterial small subunit ribosomal RNA", at positions 28 to 1381 of the family's 1533-position model. The record is from RNAcentral.
GAUGAACGCUGGCGGCGUGCCUAAUACAUGCAAGUCGAGCGAACGGACGAGAAGCUUGCUUCUCUGAUGUUAGCGGCGGACGGGUGAGUAACACGUGGAUAACCUACCUAUAAGACUGGGAUAACUUCGGGAAACCGGAGCUAAUACCGGAUAAUAUUUUGAACCGCAUGGUUCAAAAGUGAAAGACGGUCUUGCUGUCACUUAUAGAUGGAUCCGCGCUGCAUUAGCUAGUUGGUAAGGUAACGGCUUACCAAGGCAACGAUGCAUAGCCGACCUGAGAGGGUGAUCGGCCACACUGGAACUGAGACACGGUCCAGACUCCUACGGGAGGCAGCAGUAGGGAAUCUUCCGCAAUGGGCGAAAGCCUGACGGAGCAACGCCGCGUGAGUGAUGAAGGUCUUCGGAUCGUAAAACUCUGUUAUUAGGGAAGAACAUAUGUGUAAGUAACUGUGCACAUCUUGACGGUACCUAAUCAGAAAGCCACGGCUAACUACGUGCCAGCAGCCGCGGUAAUACGUAGGUGGCAAGCGUUAUCCGGAAUUAUUGGGCGUAAAGCGCGCGUAGGCGGUUUUUUAAGUCUGAUGUGAAAGCCCACGGCUCAACCGUGGAGGGUCAUUGGAAACUGGAAAACUUGAGUGCAGAAGAGGAAAGUGGAAUUCCAUGUGUAGCGGUGAAAUGCGCAGAGAUAUGGAGGAACACCAGUGGCGAAGGUGACUUUCUGGUCUGUAACUGACGCUGAUGUGCGAAAGCGUGGGGAUCAAACAGGAUUAGAUACCCUGGUAGUCCACGCCGUAAACGAUGAGUGCUAAGUGUUAGGGGGUUUCCGCCCCUUAGUGCUGCAGCUAACGCAUUAAGCACUCCGCCUGGGGAGUACGACCGCAAGGUUGAAACUCAAAGGAAUUGACGGGGACCCGCACAAGCGGUGGAGCAUGUGGUUUAAUUCGAAGCAACGCGAAGAACCUUACCAAAUCUUGACAUCCUUUGACAACUCUAGAGAUAGAGCCUUCCCCUUCGGGGGACAAGGUGACAGGUGGUGCAUGGUUGUCGUCAGCUCGUGUCGUGAGAUGUUGGGUUAAGUCCCGCAACGAGCGCAACCCUUAAGCUUAGUUGCCAUCAUUAAGUUGGGCACUCUAAGUUGACUGCCGGUGACAAACCGGAGGAAGGUGGGGAUGACGUCAAAUCAUCAUGCCCCUUAUGAUUUGGGCUACACACGUGCUACAAUGGACAAUACAAAGGGCAGCGAAACCGCGAGGUCAAGCAAAUCCCAUAAAGUUGUUCUCAGUUCGGAUUGUAGUCUGCAACUCGACUACAUGAAGCUGGAAUCGCUAGUAAUCGUAGAUCAGCAUGCUACGGUGAAUACGUUCCCGGGUCU